GGCAGCGGCGCGAAUGCCGGGCGGCGCUGGCCCCCGCGCGGCGGGAGCCCCGGCCCCGCGAUAAAAAGGGAAGGGGGCCGGGAGGCGGAAGGUGCGCGCUGCGGGUCCGCUGGGGCGCCGUGCGGCGGCACCGGCAGAAACGUGCCUGGGAGGGAGGGUGCCGGAGAAUGAGCGGGAGGCUGUGCCGAGCGACGAGCCUCCUCCUGCCUGCCCGCCCUCCGGUAGGAAUCCCGGGCGGGCGGCGCGGCGGCGCCCGGGACGCGCGGCUCCCCUGGGCUGCGCGGCGGCGGCGGGCGGGAGGGCGGGAGCCGCGCUUGGUGAGGAGGAGCCGCUGCCGCCUCAUCCUGCGGCACCGGCCGGCGGCGUGAGGAGCCCGGCGAGCGCAGGUGGCAGUGUAGAAGCCAAGAACAAAAAUUGGCAGAAAUAAUAUUCUGUGUACGAGAAAAUGAAGAGUGUACUCAUGACUAAGCACAGGAACCUGGAAAACCACAGAUUGCUUCUGAGAGAACGUGGUUAUGCCACAAAUGUCAACAGAUGACCAAGUCGCCUUCUGUCAGCUGCCCUGCAGUAACUGGCCUUGGGCACACUUCUUGUUAUACCCAGCUGCAAUAUUAGUUGCAGAAAGAAUGAUUUAUUUCACUGUUAGAAUGGGCUAAGAGCAUACAUCCCAUCUGGUAUAACUGACCAGCUGUAACUGAUAAACUGUUAAAAUAUAGUAGCUUGGAUUCCAGAAUCUCAAGAUGCCAAAUAAAAUGUGGUUUUUUGAUACCUGUUGUUUAAAAAAAACAACCCCCAACAACCAAACCACCAAAAUCCAAACAGC
Long non-coding RNA from Falco peregrinus (peregrine falcon), 823 nucleotides. RefSeq lists it as uncharacterized. The transcript has 3 exons. Lineage: Eukaryota; Metazoa; Chordata; Aves; Falconiformes; Falconidae. The record is from RefSeq and is a predicted model, not a curated record.